This 470-nucleotide long non-coding RNA is filed under the name Bos mutus (wild yak). RNAcentral's name for it is "lncRNA (ENSBMUG00000023586.1)". Lineage: Eukaryota; Metazoa; Chordata; Mammalia; Artiodactyla; Bovidae. The record is from RNAcentral.
GUUCUCUUACAGACAGUCUGACGUAGAUGCACAGAUUGGUGAGCACAUUGUGACUUGACCUGAAUGGAGCAUGGACCUUCACGCUCGGGUGCUUUGGAACCAUGGCCAGAUGCACAGCUCGGAUUGAUUUGCCUCAGAUUUCCCAUUUUUCUUCAGUUUGUUCAAUACACAGUCAUUGAACAUCCACUACUCUCAGUCAAGCACCGUACAAGGCCCCUUGAUAGCCUUUGGCCGUCUGCAGAAACAGUGCGCUUAUUAAUGGGAGAUCCUGACUCUGGUUCCACCAUUUCAGAUCUGAUGUCCUCCUAUGCUGCUGGCAAUUGGUGAAGAAUCAACGUGUUCCUCACCAAUCGAACAAAAACAAAUGCCCAUCACCACAUCCUUAUUGAGCCACCGGGGAUAACAGGAUGUGGCCCAGAACCUCACAUGCAGGUUCCUGGAAUAAACUAAGUCACUGCAAGAAAGAAACA